AUCAGAGCAUUUUACAGCCGUGGGGAUGCAACAUCAGGUGGUCUGGAAGGGGUGUCCCUGCUUCACGAGGACUUGUCCAUCGUCCUGGGUGACCGUGAUCUGCCCCGUGGUGCCUGCAAGAAAGUGAAGGGAAGUCCUGAGCUAUGCAGACAGACAGGCAAGAGUGAUUUUUGG
Cyanistes caeruleus (blue tit) is the source of this 174-nucleotide non-coding RNA. NCBI's taxonomy places the organism in Eukaryota, Metazoa, Chordata, Aves, Passeriformes, Paridae. The record is from RefSeq and is a predicted model, not a curated record.